Molecule: long non-coding RNA, 1128 nt
Filed under: Rosa chinensis
Lineage: Eukaryota; Viridiplantae; Streptophyta; Magnoliopsida; Rosales; Rosaceae
Description: sRNA RchiOBHm_Chr4g0412681
Source: RNAcentral
CGAAUAGAUCGCCUCCGAAUGAUUUAUCGGAUGGAUCCUUGCCGUCCAAGAAAGCAGAUGGCAUUAAUGGCCCGAUUCCGAUCAAGUUGAACUCGUCAAUUGCUUUUAACGCCUCCGGCUCAAGUGCAUCGAACGUGUUCACCAGGAUGGUUGGCUUGCUUUCUUUUCGUAGCAGUUCGAACUGUUCUUCGAUCAAUGGGAGAGCGAAAUUGUACGGAUUCGAAUCCACCAUGAAGGAGGGCAGGUCACGGCUCUUCAGCACUAGUGGCAGUCCUGGUAAUUCUACUGCAUGGGAAGGGUCACUGUUAUUAGCCGUGGCACUGUUUCUGAUGAGGUCUUUGUAGCCGUUAAAAUAAUAGUAGUAUAUGUCGAACACUGCGGCGGGCUGAAUCCAAACGAGCGCAGCCUGGAGGUGAAGUUCACUCGCCACUACCGCCACCCAAGGGAGUAGUAUGGUGUACACCAUGCAAGUGUAAGGGCGGCCCUCGUUCGCACUAGACACCACGAUAUCCGCGAGAGCUCGCGAGCCACGGCUCCUUAGCUCGGACAUGUAGAGAUCUAUGUCGUCCCCGGGCUUAAACCCGUCGUCAUAGCCGUCAGAGAAGGGAGCAAAAGUCAGGCCACGAGGAGUGCACGAGCCAUUGCCUAUGCGGCGAAGCGCAGAUGUGGCCGUGAAAAAGGUCACGUCCGCGCCCGUGGUGCUGAUGAGACGCUUUGCGAAUUGCAUGGAAGGAUUGAUGUGGCCUUGAGCGGGGAAUGUGAUGAGAAGGAAGCGGUGUUGCGUCAUGGUGGUGGUUGCGUUGCGGAGGCGCGUAGUGCAGAGUGGAGUUGUUGCGACUAGAAGUAUAUACGUGUAGGGAUGUUUGGUGCAAAAAUUGUACGAGUUAUGGAUUGAGCUUGGAGAUGAGGAAGUUCUUGAUGUUGGGAGAUGUAAGAUGUAACUUGGAGAUGGGAGGAGCAUGUCAAGAGUUUAUAUAAGUAGAAGGGGUGAGAGAGCGGAGAGUCAAAAACUCAAAAUGACGUUUGUGGUGACGAAUUUAAGAGGCGUAGACAAGAAAGAUGAGAAAGGCUAAUUUGUGGUGUUGUGGAAAUGAGGAUUGUUCUAUCAGUUAGUACGUCAGAGAGGGC